GAUGAACGCUGGCGGCGUGCCUAAUACAUGCAAGUCGAGCGAACGGACGAGAAGCUCGCUUCUCUGAUGUUAGCGGCGGACGGGUGAGUAACACGUGGAUAACCUACCUAUAAGACUGGGAUAAUUUCGGGAAACCGGAGCUAAUACUGGAUAAUAUUUUGUACCGCAUGGUUCAAAAGUUAAAGACGGUCUUGCUGAUACUUUUAGAUGGAUCCGCGCUGCAUUAGCUAGUUGGUAAGGUAACGGCUUACCAAGGCAACGAAGCAUAGCCGACCUGAGAGGGUGAUCAGCCACACUGGAACUGAGACACGGUCCAGACUCCUACGGGAGGCAGCAGUAGGGAAUCUUGCGCAAUGGGCGAAAGCCUGACGGAGCAACGCCGCGUGAGUGAUGAAGGUCUUCGGAUCGUAAAACUCUGUUAUUAGGGAAGAACAUAUGUGUAAGUAACUGUGGACAUCUUGACGGUACCUAAUCAGAAAGCCACGGCUAACUACGUG
This 497-nucleotide ribosomal RNA is filed under the name uncultured bacterium. RNAcentral describes it as "partial 16S ribosomal RNA". It matches the Rfam family "Bacterial small subunit ribosomal RNA", at positions 28 to 507 of the family's 1533-position model. The record is from RNAcentral.